UUGCAGUUAAAAAGCUCGUAGUUGGAUUUUGGUUAAGAGGGCGCGGUCGGCCGUUUGGUCUGUACUGCGUUGUCUUGACUUCCUGAUGAGGACAUGCUCUUGGUUAACGCUGAGACAUGGAGUCAUCGUGGUUACUUUGAAAAAAUUAGAGUGUUCAAAGCGGGCUUACGCUUGAAUAUAUUAGCAUGGAAUAACACUACAGGACUCCUGUCCUAUCUCGUUGGUCUCGGGAUGGGAGUAAUGAUUAAGAGGAACAGUUGGGGGCAUUCGUAUUUCAUUGUCAGAGGUGAAAUUCUUGGAUUUAUGAAAGACGAACUUCUGCGAAAGCAUUUGCCAAGGAUGUUUCAUUAAUCAAGAACGAAAGUUGGGGGCUCGAAGAUGAUUAGAUACCAUCCUAGUCUCAACCAUAAACGAUGCCGACUAGGGAUUGGUGGAUGUUAAUUGAUGACUUCACCAGCACCUUAUGAGAAAUCAAAGUUUUUGGGUUCCGGGGGGAGUAUGGUCGCAAGGCUGAAACUUAAAGGAAUUGACGGAAGGGCACCACCAGGCGUGGAGCCUGCGGCUUAAUUUGACUCAACACGGGGAAACUUACCAGGUCCAGACAUAAGUAUGAUUGACAGAUUGAGAGCUCUUUCUUGAUUCUAUGGGUGGUGGUGCA
This 658-nucleotide ribosomal RNA is filed under the name uncultured marine eukaryote. RNAcentral's name for it is "SSU rRNA". It matches the Rfam family "Eukaryotic small subunit ribosomal RNA", at positions 613 to 1284 of the family's 1831-position model. The record is from RNAcentral.